AAUUUCAAAAGCUGCGUUUUAAACACGAAAACGGAAGCUAAAAAUUUCCCCAAAAAAAAAUUCCCCCAAAAUUUUCCCUCCUCCCUUCGCCCACCACUGGCUACCAUUGCCACCAGCUACCACCAUCCAUCUCCAUCUUUAGUCACAAGGUACCGUGCGGUCUCCAUCCCCUGUAUCGCCAUCUCCGACAACCCAUCCACCAGGUAAGACCCAUCUUCGUCUCCAUCCACGACGACCCAUUACACCGCCGACGAUCCCAGUCGAAGCACCACCACAACCGACGAGCCCAGCCAUCAAAAGAGAGAAAAAAGAACUAAAUCUCUGCAACCAUGCUAGUUUACUAGGAUCUUCUCACAGGUGAAGACAGCACAUUGCAGAAGCCAUUGUUCUUUCUAGAUGACAAUUAGAGGAAGAUUACGGACUUGGUGAUACCUUAUGGACUUAGUGUGGCAGCAAGGAGCUAUAUGUGCAGGUGUUUGAUUCACUUGAAAGACCAUUAACUGAAAAUAUUAACGAGAUGCAGAUGGAUUGUUUUGAAGGUGGUGUUAAUGCAUCUACAAGAUGUCUGCAAUCUGCUUAAUGUGAAGUUUGACAGAAAAAACAUUAUUCUUUCAUUCUAAGAGGAAAAAAUUAUAUUGAAAUGAGUGAUUCUUUUACAUGUUGGAACUUGUAACAUGUAAUUUGAGAAGUUAGGUGGAAUUUUUGAUGGAACAAGUUGAUAUUUGUUCCUUGUACUGCCUAUUUUUGGUGCAUUGAAGUACAAUGUGUUGUGCAGAAGCAUUGACUAAUGUAUUUUACUGGGUGCUUCUUUUCUU
This is a long non-coding RNA of Alnus glutinosa, 815 nucleotides long. RefSeq lists it as uncharacterized. NCBI's taxonomy places the organism in Eukaryota, Viridiplantae, Streptophyta, Magnoliopsida, Fagales, Betulaceae. The record is from RefSeq and is a predicted model, not a curated record. The transcript has 4 exons.